GUGGGGAAUAUUGGUCAAUGGGCGCGAGCCUGAACCAGCCAAGUAGCGUGCAGGAUGACGGCCCUAUGGGUUGUAAACUGCUUUUAUGCGGGGAUAAAGUGCACCACGUGUGGUGUUUUGUAGGUACCGCAUGAAUAAGGACCGGCUAAUUCCGUGCCAGCAGCCGCGGUAAUACGGAAGGUCCGGGCGUUAUCCGGAUUUAUUGGGUUUAAAGGGAGCGCAGGCUGAUUGUUAAGCGUGACGUGAAAUGUAGCCGCUCAACGGCUGAACUGCGUCGCGAACUGGCAGUCUUGAGUGAGUACGACGUCAGCGGAAUUCGUGGUGUAGCGGUGAAAUGCUUAGAUAUCACGAAGAACCCCGAUUGCGAAGGCAGCUGACGAGUCCUUUACUGACGCUAAAGCUCGAAGGUGCGGGUAUCGAACAGG
RNAcentral lists this ribosomal RNA (425 nucleotides) under uncultured rumen bacterium. Its description in RNAcentral is "bacterial SSU rRNA". It matches the Rfam family "Bacterial small subunit ribosomal RNA", at positions 354 to 776 of the family's 1533-position model. The record is from RNAcentral.